AUUCAGGCGGGCUCGGAGCAAGUGUGUGUGUGAGGUUGGGGGAGCUCAGAGGUGAGGUGCCCCGCAUCUCCCAGGAUGCCCAAGAGGCAGGAGUGCAGAGAACCUCUGUCAGGGUCUCAGCCCCUUCCUACCAGCUGGUUUCCCACCACUCCCCUGGCUCCCUUAGGUAUCCCAACCCCAGGCACAGCCACCCCAGAGGAUGCUCUGCAGAGAGGCGGGGUCCGGGUCCUCCCCUCCACCCCCUUCCGUUUAACCCUCGCACCGCCGCUGUGCGCUCCUGCGCUCCUGGGCCAGCUGGACUGGGAGACCUACAACCCAGUACCUCGAGCCCACCCAGAUGGAAGGAAGGUAGUGACACCGUGGUGUCCUCAGCGUGCACUGCGCAUCCUGCCUCUCAUUCAGCCUCUAGACACCAGCCCUGCGUUCCUGGUACAAUAGGGAGCCAGGUGGCCUGGGGUCAGCAGCAGGGACCUCAUAAGUGACAGAAGGAACCCCAUCUCCUAGCCCGAGUUCCAGCUCCAACUCCCUAUCACGUCUCCUGCAGUCUAGAGUCCAAGGAAUGGCACCCUGCACCCGCAUCCCGUGGAGCGCCCUGGUCACCCCGAGCCAGAUGGUGAAACCAGGAAUAUUACAAGUUCAAGAUCAUCUUUGGCUACAUGGUAAACUCAAGGCCAUUCUGGGAAUACAUGAGAUUCAUCAUCAUUGUCGUCGUCGUCGCCAUCGUCAUCAUCAUCAUCUAGAUAAAUCUGGUAUCCAAACUCUCCCCACAGCCUAUGCGACAUCAAGCAGGAGGAAGCCUGGUUCACAGCAGACCCCGAGCGCUCUAUCAUAUCUAGCAUACUGUGACCAACCCCCAGCCUACCUUCACAUAGUCCCCAGCGGCCUCCAGCUCUGCAGCAGUCCUGGAAGAAGAAAAAAGAGAACUUCACCUUCAGGAACCUCUGGCCUGGACCAGAAGGAAGAGUGAACUUCCACUAGGAUCCUGAAGAAGUGGAGAAGGAGGCUGCCCCACCCCUCUGCCAGGCGUGGCCUUACCCUCUGUCCUGAGCUUCUUCCUUUGGGCCUUAGGGUCUGGUCAUAAGGCCCGAGAAGAGAUUCGCAGCUCUGACACCUGCUUCCCUCUCUCUGAGGCUUGGCUUCCUCAUCUUCUGAGGGGACAUCAUGUGUGCCUGGAAGGCCAUGAUGCUCAUGUGACCGUCAGUGCCGGGUCCCCUCACCCCAGUGGGUUCCAGAUCCUGGUGCCACUCUCCUGGGGUAUUAGACCUUUCCUUACACAGACCCUGUUUUUGUUUUGCUCAGUUUUGUUAUGUUUUCAAAAUAAACGUCUAGGCUUGUCUCAAA
Molecule: long non-coding RNA, 1341 nt
Filed under: Mus musculus (house mouse)
Lineage: Eukaryota; Metazoa; Chordata; Mammalia; Rodentia; Muridae
Description: RIKEN cDNA 6330409D20 gene (6330409D20Rik)
Source: RNAcentral